UAAAGAAGAACAUGGAUGUACGGGAAGAGAGAUGUAUCGAGGGGCUCGUCGGAGAGAUAAAGGCCGAGCUCUUCUCUCCUUCGACAAAUCUCUACUCCUUGUUUCCGGCAUCAGCGUACGAUACAGAAUGGGUUGCAAUGGUCCCUAAUCCACACGAGCCCGAACGUCCUAUGUUCCCUGGAUGCGGCAAAUGGAUACUCAUCAGUCAAAACCCAGAAAGAGGUUUCUGGGGUGACAUGGAGAUGACUGUCCAAUGCCUCGCCGACACCCUUGCCUGUUUGGUAGCUCUCAAGACCUGGAAUGUCGGCCCUUCGAACAUAGAGAAUGGGCUUACG
Molecule: unclassified non-coding RNA, 335 nt
Filed under: Hevea brasiliensis (rubber tree)
Lineage: Eukaryota; Viridiplantae; Streptophyta; Magnoliopsida; Malpighiales; Euphorbiaceae
Source: RNAcentral